Molecule: long non-coding RNA, 276 nt
Filed under: Phoenix dactylifera (date palm)
Lineage: Eukaryota; Viridiplantae; Streptophyta; Magnoliopsida; Arecales; Arecaceae
Description: long non-coding RNA (PDAC_LNC011465)
Source: RNAcentral
GUUCUUCGUAUGGAAAAAUAUUUCUUCAGAAAUUCAUAUUGCAUUUGAGCCCAUGAAAGAAUGGAAUUGGCUUCUAAUGAAUGGAGCCACUGCUUAGCUCUGUCCUUAAGGGAGAAAGGGAACAACCUAAGUUUCAGAGCAUCAUCAGUGAAGUUCUGAAUUUUGACAGUGGUGCAAAUCUCAAGGAACUCAUCUAAAUGUUUGUAUGGGUCUUCAUUGUUGAGUCCAUAAAAAGAGGAAAGCAUUUGGAUGACACUAGACUUAAUUUCAAAUUGU